Molecule: ribosomal RNA, 535 nt
Filed under: uncultured bacterium
Lineage: Bacteria
Description: bacterial SSU rRNA
Rfam family: Bacterial small subunit ribosomal RNA
Source: RNAcentral
AAUAGAUACCCCGGUAGUCCACGCCGUAAACGGUGGGCACUAGGUGUGGGCGACAUUCCACGUCGUCCGUGCCGCAGCUAACGCAUUAAGUGCCCCGCCUGGGGAGUACGGCCGCAAGGCUAAAACUCAAAGGAAUUGACGGGGGGCCCGCACAAGCGGCGGAGCAUGUGGCUUAAUUCGACGCAACGCGAAGAACCUUACCAAGGCUUGACAUACACCGGAAAGCACCAGAGAUGGUGCCCCCCUUGUGGUCGGUGUACAGGUGGUGCAUGGCUGUCGUCAGCUCGUGUCGUGAGAUGUUGGGUUAAGUCCCGCAACGAGCGCAACCCUUGUCCCGUGUUGCCAGCAGGCCCUUGUGGUGCUGGGGACUCACGGGAGACCGCCGGGGUCAACUCGGAGGAAGGUGGGGACGACGUCAAGUCAUCAUGCCCCUUAUGUCUUGGGCUGCACACGUGCUACAAUGGCCGGUACAAUGAGCUGCGAUACCGCGAGGUGGAGCGAAUCUCAAAAAGCCGGUCUCAGUUCGGAUUGGGGU